AGAGUUUGAUCCUGGNUCCCCCUUUAAAGGGAGNGGNAGGCCUAACACAUGCAAGUCGAGCCCUCANAANGAUUGAGCUUGCUUAAUUGGUGGCGACCGGCGCACGGGUGCGUAACGCGUAUGCAACCUACCUUAUACUGGGGUAUAGCCCGGAGAAAUUCGGAUUAAUCCCCCAUAGUAUUAUUGAAUGGCAUCAUUUAAUAAUUAAAGGUUACGGUAUAAGAUGGGCAUGCGUCCCAUUAGCUAGAUGGUGAGGUAACGGCUCACCAUGGCAACGAUGGGUAGGGGGCCUGAGAGGGUGGUCCCCCACACUGGUACUGAGACACGGACCAGACUCCUACGGGAGGCAGCAGUGAGGAAUAUUGGUCAAUGGGCGCAAGCCUGAACCAGCCAUGCCGCGUGCAGGAAGACGGUCCUAUGGAUUGUAAACUGCUUUUAUUCGGGAAUAAACCUCUUUACGUGUAGAGAGNUGAAGGUACCGAAUGAAUAAGCACCGGCUAANUCCGUGCCAGCAGCCGCGGUAAUACGGAGGGUGCAAGCGUUAUCCGGAAUCAUUGGGUUUAAAGGGUCCGCAGGCGGUCUUAUAAGUCAGUGGUGAAAGCCUACAGCUCAACUGUAGAACUGCCAUUGAUANUGUAAGACUUGAAUUCGAUNGAAGUGGGCGGAAUAUGACAUGUANCGGUGAAAUGCUUAGAUAUGUCAUAGAACACCNAUAGCGAAGGCAGCUCACUAGGUCUGGAUUGACGCUCA
Molecule: ribosomal RNA, 750 nt
Filed under: uncultured Rhizobium sp.
Lineage: Bacteria; Pseudomonadati; Pseudomonadota; Alphaproteobacteria; Hyphomicrobiales; Rhizobiaceae
Description: bacterial SSU rRNA
Rfam family: Bacterial small subunit ribosomal RNA
Source: RNAcentral